UGGCGGACGGGUGAGUAACGCGUGGGGAACCUGCCCUGUACAGGGGGAUAACACUUAGAAAUAGGUGCUAAUACCGCAUAAGCGCACAGUAUCGCAUGAUACAGUGUGAAAAACUCCGGUGGUACAGGAUGGACCCGCGUCUGAUUAGCUGGUUGGCGGGGUAACGGCCCACCAAGGCGACGAUCAGUAGCCGGCCUGAGAGGGUGAACGGCCACAUUGGGAUGAGACACGGCCCAAACUCCUACGGAAGGCAGCAG
RNAcentral lists this ribosomal RNA (257 nucleotides) under uncultured bacterium. RNAcentral's name for it is "partial 16S ribosomal RNA". It matches the Rfam family "Bacterial small subunit ribosomal RNA", at positions 96 to 354 of the family's 1533-position model. The record is from RNAcentral.